AAGUACUUAACAGAAACGAUAUCAUUAACAAAUCCAGUAAAUUGGAGGGUAGAGUAGAGCUACAGGUUGUCCGAAUGCAAAUUGCAAGUACUUAACAGAAACGAUAUCAUUAACAAAUCCAAAUGCAAAUUGCAAGUACUUAACAGAAACGAUAUCAUUAACAAAUCCAAAUGCAAAUUGCAAGUACUUAACAGAAACGAUAUCAUUAACAAAUCCAAAUGCAAAUUGCAAGUACUUAACAGAAACGAUAUCAUUAACAAAUCCAGUAAAUUGGAGGGUAGAGUAGAGCUACAGGUUGUCCAAAUGCAAAAUGCAAGUACUUAACAAAAACGAUAUGAUUAACAAAUCCAGUAAAUUGGACAGCUCUGGUACAAGGGCAUGGAGCCAUAUGCUCACAGAAACGAUUUACAGGCCCAAAGGUGAAGUAAAGAAAAACUAUUUUC
Molecule: long non-coding RNA, 443 nt
Filed under: Daucus carota (carrot)
Lineage: Eukaryota; Viridiplantae; Streptophyta; Magnoliopsida; Apiales; Apiaceae
Description: long non-coding RNA (DCAR_LNC003951)
Source: RNAcentral